Long non-coding RNA from Gossypium arboreum, 502 nucleotides. RefSeq lists it as uncharacterized. Lineage: Eukaryota; Viridiplantae; Streptophyta; Magnoliopsida; Malvales; Malvaceae. The transcript has 2 exons. The record is from RefSeq and is a predicted model, not a curated record.
CUCGUAUUUUUCUCAAAGUAGGAUUCAAGAUAAGCCAUCAUCAUCAAAUUUGCUCUAUUUCCCUGCACUUGCUUUGCCUUUCAUCUCUUGCUCCAUUUCUUUGUAACAGAAGAAAUAAGAGCAUUGAAAGCAAAUCUAAGAUCUUCCCAAAGAAAGAAUGAUCCCAACAAAAUUAGGAAAAAGAAAAAAUAUCAAAUCGGGUUGAGGAUUGUCCACAGGGUGGUGUUCCUCUCUCGCGCCUGUGUCAAGCUUCUUCACCCUAUUUUCCCUUCACUUGGUUUUUUUUUUCUUCGUUUUGUGUCUUCUUUUUUACAUGAGGAUCGAAAAAUGAAAUCUGGAUUGUUGUCUUUUUAUUUUUAUUUUUACAUAUAUUUUAACAGUCAAAAAGCUAAAAGAUGGAGAUUGUUACACCACUUCAUAGUUGAAAGAACAUUUUCGAGAUUGCUACUGAAAUGAUCAAUGGUUGUCAAACAAGAAAAAAAAAAGAAAAUGAUUUUGAGAA